GACCUUUGUUGGGUUUCUUGUCAGUGUGGUGUGUGUUGAGUCUUGCUUUUGUAUAGUAGUGAUGUCGUAUCUCAGUUCGUGCAUUCUAGUGCAUUAUAGGGUUAUUGGUCGGAUUGGUUCUUGUGUCUUGUCUCCAACUUGUUGUUGGCGAUGGAUCAGUGGGUACCUUACCUUUCUUUCGAUAAUUACGUUGGCUGCAGACAACGCAGUGGUGAAAGUUAGGAUAAGAUACCCUAUCCCUUUUGGGGAAUAUCUGGAUUGGGUCGAUAUUUCUUUUCUCUUGUAUGAGAG
RNAcentral lists this long non-coding RNA (291 nucleotides) under Ananas comosus (pineapple). RNAcentral describes it as "long non-coding RNA (ACOM_LNC044133)". The record is from RNAcentral. Lineage: Eukaryota; Viridiplantae; Streptophyta; Magnoliopsida; Poales; Bromeliaceae.